RNAcentral lists this ribosomal RNA (1350 nucleotides) under Triticum aestivum (bread wheat). Its description in RNAcentral is "partial small subunit ribosomal RNA". Lineage: Eukaryota; Viridiplantae; Streptophyta; Magnoliopsida; Poales; Poaceae. The record is from RNAcentral.
AUGAGCUCGGCGUUGGGUAUUGCACGCGUGGGUGACCCUCCCGUGGCUACCUUGCUUGUCGAUCCGGCGGCCUCAACCACGACGCAUGCCUCGUCCACGAUCGUCCCUGACGUCUCCUCCAACACCAAGGCCCAGGAGGUCCUCGAGGUCGUCCAUGACGCGCCCCCUGCCUCCAUCGCGAUGGCGCACGUCAGCUGUUCGACGGAUGGCUCGAACGAAGUUGUCGCCUUCAACAUCAUCAACAAGGUCACCACUGCUAUCUUCCCCGAGCUUUCCGUCCUCCCGAACGACAAGGAGGUCGAGCAGUUGCCUUCGUACGCGGUCAGUGAGGAGGACGCCGCUCCUGUGGCGAUCACAGCUAAUGCUCUUGCCCAACUGGGUUCUCCUGGGACGACAGUGGCGUACGAUAGCGUCGUCAUCAGUGAUGCCAACAACUGUGCUACACCUGUGCCGACCAUGUGUUCGACGGAAUUCUCGAGUCGAGAUAUCAUUGUGGCGAUGUCUGCGCUUGCCACAGCUGCGACACCUGAAUUGUCCUCGACCAUUGUCGACUUUGUCCCUGAGCUCACUUCCUGUGAUGCAGACGUUGAGGCCUUUCACAUUGGUGCCAAUGGUGUCGAUGCAAUGGCACCCACCAGAGACUUGACUGACUGCCUCGGCGACAACCUCAAUCAGGGGAGUGAGGUUUUACCCAUGUCCUACUGUGUAUUUGGUAGCUCUCACGGAGGAGAGUGUUGGAAGCAUCCAUGGCCACCACCUCAGGUUAUGUCACUGACGGGGAUCUACGAUACUGCACCGAUUCCUAUGGAGCAACAGUUAUGUUCCCAGUUACUUUUUCAUAGUGAUCAGAGUGGUGGCUCUAGCGGUAUGACUUGGGAUCCAGGAGUGUUACUGAAUUGCACUCGAUUAUCACACAAGGCGAACGAUGAGCUUUUUGGGUACAGAAAUGCAUCUAUUCAGAGUUUGCUUCGUCAACUAAUAGUGGAUUUGACUGGAAUUAAAAUUGACACGACUUCUCCAAAAAUUCAUGGUCCUGCUUCACAGUCAACUGAUACAGUUGUGGCUGAUGUUCUUAAUGAUCAUGAAGAGCAACACGUUUCUCGGGACAGGACAGUUCUUACUGCUAGUAGUGGUUCACAAUGGCAUGUUAUGUGUAUCAUUAUGGAGUUCGGUCAGUGCUUCUCUCGGAUUGGACAAAUUGAGUGGUUGUUUCCUAUUUGUCUGAAGAUGAUGACGCGGUGCUUGGUUUUACUAUCUCCUGCCGACAUUGAGUAUGAGCUGUGGCGUCGACCAGAUCAAACUGAAAAUUGUGGUGUGCUUGUGAAGUUCAGAAUAUUGCAUAUUUUCUAG